AAAAGUCUUACUUUUGGGCUUGUAUGGCUUCUUGGCUUUGCCUCUCCCCUUGUUGGGUAAGACCAUCAGAAUGGCCUUAUCAUUUCCUUUAUUAAUGUUUUGCUCAGCAGUUCUUAACAUGCCAAGCAAUUCAGGUAGUGUUUUCUCAAUUUCGUUCAUGUUGUAGUUCAUGACGAAUUGAUUGAAGCUAUGAGGCAAUUAUUGCAAGAUAAGAUCAACAGCCAACUCUUGGCCAAGUGGGAAUCCAAGCCUCUCAAGGUUCUCAACAUACCCAAUCAUCUUGAGUACAUGAGCCCCUACAGGACUUCCCUCUGCCAGCCUACAUUGAUAAAGCUUCUUGGAAACCUCAAACCGCUCAUGCCUAGCUUGCCCUUGAUAGAGCUUCUUCAAGUGCACGAUCAUAUCGUACGCUUCCAUGUUCUCAUGUUGCUUCUGAAGCUCAGAGUUCAUGGAAGCCAGCAUGAGACAGCUAUCAUCUAUAGCAUCGUCUUGCAGCUUGUAAGACCUGGAUUUUCAGAACAAGUUAAUUUCCGACUCACGCGUAGAAUCAGUGUGAGCGUGACAGGAGUUUGGUAUUAGAGAAAGAUUAAUGAAGAAGAAAGUUCAGGAAUUACUUGAGGAAUGUUGCGUAGUUGCUUUCGGAGUUAGUACGAGUCGUCUGCACAUCUGCCUUAUGACGAGCGUGUCCAGAAUAGGCUUUUUCGCUUCUAGAGCAACGUUUUAAGGGAGAUUUCUAAUCCUUGGAAAAUUUAAAGAUUCUCUUUAUUUUUCCUUCGACCAGCGUUUCAUUUCGGAACUCUGGACUGUACGCACGAUAGUAUUCACAUUUCGGAAGUUCGCCGACGCUAAUUUCUUUGCUUCAAAACCCUAGAUUCGAGCGAUGGAUGAAGACUUUUUUCUAUUCGGGACUUCUAACGGACUUUCCGUCCGCGUUGCCAGAUUUGUUUCGACAUUUCCAAUCUUUCUUCAGAAGGAAGUUUUGUCGUCCGGCGAUCACAGCAAAAAGUAGUUUUUCGGGACAGAUUUAACUUACACCGCUUUUGAGAUUUUCGAUAUCGUUUUUCCCAUAUCAUAGAUAUUUGUUUUGAGUUCUGGAUUUCUGACGCCAGAAUCUCUCUUAGAAUUCCUUGGUGAACGUGCUGCAAAAAUCGGAAUCGCGAAAUUUUCAUUUUCCCGGGAUUUCGCCCGCCUAUAAAUAGGCGAAAAAGCAAAAUAUCUUCCAUUUUCCUCCAUUAGUGGCCCAAAUUCGUGGAGAGCAACGGGGGAGGAGAUUUUCGCGAAAACUUGACCAAUCUUCGCGUAGUUCGUCCCUACUUCUAGGUAUCGAGGUAACUAACACGAAUCCUAUCUCUGAUUGUUGUUUCUGUUGCGUUUCUGACGUCGUUUCUGUGCUCUAAGUUUUGAGCUUUUUCUAAAAUUGUCCGAUUUCCUCGAUUUCUUGCUUGGGUUAUGUUCUCUAGGUUCCCAAGAGCCUAAAACCUCUGUCAGUAAACUCUGAUUGUGAUCCAGUUGACAGGGAUCUGAAAAACUGAUUCAAAACCCUUUUUGCUCACAUUUCGAAACUUUAUUGUCGAGAAGUCAUAAUCUGACUUCGUGCCUUUAGGAUUAGUUGUUACAUAUGUCGUGAGGAUCAUUGUUGUCAAAUUUGUUUUCCGAUCUGAUAACUUUGAGGUUUUGAGCUUUUAUUUUGGACCAAAAUGCCCCUGGAUAGCCGUAUUUCGACCCGUUUGUCCGAAAAUUGUUCUGACAGUUUCUUUGCCUUAGUUUUACCCUAAAACUACCUUGUGAAGUGAUUUGGUCGAAGAAAAAGAGCCGAAGCCCUUUUUCCUUUAGGGCCGUGGGCUAUUCCUUUAGGGGGGGAGUUUUUUUCGGUUUCGAAAACUUGUCUUUUCAUACCCGAUUGUCUUAUUCUGAAGCUUUAAUGCUUUGUCUAUCGUUUAUGUGUUGUAUUGCGAUCGAGCUAAUCGAUUUUGUUUGGAUUCUGCUUUGUUUUCUCCGAGGUUCAGUUGAAGGAACUUUAGGAACUUCAAAGCAAUUGAGUGAAGGAGCCUUUGCUUGUGAUUGCGAAGCUGAAUCAGCUCGAGGCGUCUGUCAGCCGGUUCGUGAUGAUUCGUUGUGCGGGAAAGACCCGGAGCGAAAUGACUAAGACUAAAGCUUUCGACGAAGACCCGGACUUCAUACCUGAUCGAGGGAGGGUCGAUGAUAGUAGUGUGGGUUAUGGGUGGUUAGAGUCUUUUGGAGUUGGUUGUUACUGUAAUAGCUCUGAUUCGUUUUGCUUUUGGGACAGGGUAGGUUCCCGACGCAUGGCUUUUGUGUGGUUCUCUUACUGAGGGAUCACAGUGAGUCAGUCGGACCAUAGGGGUCUUUGCUUAGGCCAUUUUGAGGCCGACUUUCUCCUAGUGGGUUGUAAUUAUACUCUUUCUCACUCACAUUUCUGGUUUUGUACAUAUUUGCCUACGGGCACACUACUUUGGAGUCACUGCAAGUGUGCGUGACGUGGAAGUGCAGCUGAGGCUGUACAUGUUUAUAUUUGAUGUAUAUUGGUAAGUUUAGUGGUUGGGUUAUGACUUUA
Molecule: long non-coding RNA, 2572 nt
Organism: Lotus japonicus
Lineage: Eukaryota; Viridiplantae; Streptophyta; Magnoliopsida; Fabales; Fabaceae
Exons: 2
Source: RefSeq, a predicted model, not a curated record